GCAGUCGAGCGGAUGAGGUAGCUUGCUACUGGAUUCAGCGGCGGACGGGUGAGUAAUGCUUAGGAAUCUGCCUAUUAGUGGGGGACAACGUUCCGAAAGGAGCGCUAAUACCGCAUACGUCCUACGGGAGAAAGCAGGGGACCUUUGGGCCUUGCGCUAAUAGAUGAGCCUAAGUCGGAUUAGCUAGUUGGUAGGGUAAAGGCCUACCAAGGCGACGAUCUGUAGCGGGUCUGAGAGGAUGAUCCGCCACACUGGGACUGAGACACGGCCCAGACUCCUACGGGAGGCAGCAGUGGGGAAUAUUGGACAAUGGGGGGAACCCUGAUCCAGCCAUGCCGCGUGUGUGAAGAAGGCCUUUUGGUUGUAAAGCACUUUAAGCGAGGAGGAGGCUACCUAGAUUAAUACUUUAGGAUAGUGGACGUUACUCGCAGAAUAAGCACCGGCUAACUCUGUGCCAGCAGCCGCGGUAAUACAGAGGGUGCGAGCGUUAAUCGGAUUUACUGGGCGUAAAGCGUGCGUAGGCGGCCAAUUAAGUCAAAUGUGAAAUCCCCGAGCUUAACUUGGGAAUUGCAUUCGAUACUGGUUGGCUAGAGUAUGGGAGAGGAUGGUAGAAUUCCAGGUGUAGCGGUGAAAUGCGUAGAGAUCUGGAGGAAUACCGAUGGCGAAGGCAGCCAUCUGGCCUAAUACUGACGCUGAGGUACGAAAGCAUGGGGAGCAAACAGGAUUAGAUACCCUGGUAGUCCAUGCCCGUAAACGAUGUCUACUAGCCCGUUGGGGCCCUUGAGGCUUUAGUGGC
This 796-nucleotide ribosomal RNA is filed under the name Acinetobacter radioresistens. RNAcentral's name for it is "bacterial SSU rRNA". It matches the Rfam family "Bacterial small subunit ribosomal RNA", at positions 57 to 847 of the family's 1533-position model. RNAcentral also lists the same sequence under 1 other name. Lineage: Bacteria; Pseudomonadati; Pseudomonadota; Gammaproteobacteria; Moraxellales; Moraxellaceae. The record is from RNAcentral.